This is a long non-coding RNA of Neopsephotus bourkii (Bourke's parrot), 857 nucleotides long. RefSeq lists it as uncharacterized. The transcript is spliced from 2 exons. Lineage: Eukaryota; Metazoa; Chordata; Aves; Psittaciformes; Psittacidae. The record is from RefSeq and is a predicted model, not a curated record.
GCGCGCUCAGUCCCGGCCCCCGCGGGGGCGGCGGCGGGGCCAGGGGAGGAGCGGCAGCGGGCCCAGCACAGGUGUCCAUAGAAUUUUCAAGCAGAAGUACUGAUUUACAAAUAAGAGUGGACUCUUCAAAUGAAUAUAGUCUGCUAUACACUGAACCCAAAUUUUCAAAAAUGGCCUGGAAUUCAAUGUACCUCAGAAUAGAGCAAUACAAUUUUGGACACUUGAUUCAGGCAGGAGCUGAUUUUCCCUCUAGUUCCCCCUGAAAUUAAGUGCAUUGCAAGUUGAAAUCUGAAGAUGGUUGACUAGUUCAGUACACACAUUACAAUGAUAAAAGCCACAUAUGCUACGUGGGGUUUUUCUUACAGAAAUCCAAUUUUGGUGCCAGAUAACGCUGCCAUACUUUUCUGUUUCUUUUUUCUUCUUUUUCUUUUUUUCUCUAGCUGAUCUAGAAAAGGUUGUCUAAAUAAUCUGAAUAAUGAUCUAAAUUGAUAAUUUAGAUUAACAAUCAUCACAGAUACUGCUUAAUUUCUUCUUAUUUUUUUAUUUUUUCAUUUUGUGGAACAGGAAUGUAUUUCUUUCUUUUGAUACUUUCAGUCAAAAUGAAUGAUACCACCUUUCUUCAGUAGCUAUUUCUCAGUUACUCUUAUGUCAAGGAUAAUGUUCUGAAUGAUAUUUAGAAACCACUUCCAUAAUUGUAUGUGCUGUUUAUUUAAGCCAUGUAGAAUUUUAAAGUUGUCUCUAUUAGCUGAUGGUAGGGCACGUAUCCCAUAAACAAACAUGUUUUUAUAGUUAAAAGAGAUAUUGCUGUCUCUACACAGCCUUUGACUAUUACUGCCAAUUAAAUCAUUGACACUUCA